AGUGAACGCUGGCGGUAGGCCUAACACAUGCAAGUCGAACGGCAGCACAGUAAGAGCUUGCUCUUACGGGUGGCGAGUGGCGGACGGGUGAAGAAUACAUCGGAAUCUACUUUUUCGUGGGGGAUAACGUAGGGAAACUUACGCUAAUACCGCAUACGACCUACGGGUGAAAGCAGGGGAUCUUCGGACCUUGCGCGAUUGAAUGAGCCGAUGUCGGAUUAGCUAGUUGGCGGGGUAAAGGCCCACCAAGGCGACGAUCCGUAGCUGGUCUGAGAGGAUGAUCAGCCACACUGGAACUGAGACACGGUCCAGACUCCUACGGGAGGCAGCAGUGGGGAAUAUUGGACAAUGGGCGCAAGCCUGAUCCAGCCAUACCGCGUGGGUGAAGAAGGCCUUCGGGUUGUAAAGCCCCUUUGUUGGGAAAGAAAAGCAGCAGGUUAAUACCCCGCUGUUCUGACGGUACCCAAAGAAUAAGCACCGGCUAACUUCGUG
RNAcentral lists this ribosomal RNA (492 nucleotides) under uncultured bacterium. RNAcentral describes it as "partial 16S ribosomal RNA". It matches the Rfam family "Bacterial small subunit ribosomal RNA", at positions 29 to 507 of the family's 1533-position model. The record is from RNAcentral.